AGCCACCUUCGGGUGGUGGACAGUGGCAGACGGGUGAGUAACGCGUGGGAACGUGCCUUUCGGUUCGGGAUAACCCAGGGAAACUUGGGCUAAUACCGGAUACGCCCUCCGGGGGAAAGAUUCAUCGCCGAAAGAUCGGCCCGCGUCGGAUUAGCUAGUUGGUGGGGUAAUAGCCUACCAAGGCGACGAUCCGUAGCUGGUCUGAGAGGAUGACCAGCCACACUGGGACUGAGACACGGCCCAGACUCCUACGGGAGGCAGCAGUGGGGAAUAUUGGACAAUGGGCGCAAGCCUGAUCCAGCCAUGCCGCGUGGGUGAAGAAGGCCUUAGGG
Molecule: ribosomal RNA, 332 nt
Filed under: uncultured bacterium
Lineage: Bacteria
Description: bacterial SSU rRNA
Rfam family: Bacterial small subunit ribosomal RNA
Source: RNAcentral